UACGUAGGUGGCAAGCGUUAUCCGGAAUUAUUGGGCGUAAAGAGCGCGCAGGUGGUUGAUUAAGUCAGAUGUGAAAGCCCGUGGCUUAACUGCGGGAUUGCAUCAGAAACUGCUUUGCUAGAGUGCAGGAGAGGUAAGUGGAAUUCCUAGUGUAGCGGUGAAAUGCGUAGAUAUUAGGAGGAACACCAGUGGCGAAGGCGGCUUUCUGGACUGAUACUGACGCUGAGGAACGAAAGCGUGGGGAGCAAACAGGAUUA
RNAcentral lists this ribosomal RNA (257 nucleotides) under uncultured prokaryote. Its description in RNAcentral is "partial 16S ribosomal RNA". It matches the Rfam family "Bacterial small subunit ribosomal RNA", at positions 524 to 780 of the family's 1533-position model. The record is from RNAcentral.